UUGAGGGGAAUGUUGUCUGGCACGAGGCCCUUAACUCAGAUCUACUACACUUGAUUAUAUAUUUAUAAGUACUCUCUUCUUUAUUUAAUUAGUCUACACGUAUAUGUAUGAAUGAUCUAACGGUUAAUGACGUCGGACCAGGCUUCAUUCCCCUCAA
RNAcentral lists this microRNA precursor (157 nucleotides) under Camelina sativa (false flax). Its description in RNAcentral is "miR166c stem-loop (cas-MIR166c)". Its record names the gene cas-MIR166c. It matches the Rfam family "mir-166 microRNA precursor family". Rfam says of the family: This family represents the plant microRNA (miRNA) precursor mir-166. Animal miRNAs are transcribed as ~70nt precursors and subsequently processed by the Dicer enzyme to give a ~22nt product. Lineage: Eukaryota; Viridiplantae; Streptophyta; Magnoliopsida; Brassicales; Brassicaceae. The record is from miRBase by way of RNAcentral.